Molecule: ribosomal RNA, 675 nt
Filed under: uncultured Actinomycetes bacterium
Lineage: Bacteria; Bacillati; Actinomycetota; Actinomycetes
Description: bacterial SSU rRNA
Rfam family: Bacterial small subunit ribosomal RNA
Source: RNAcentral
GCGGAGCUUGCUCCGCCGGAUCAGUGGCGAACGGGUGAGUAACACGUGGGCAACCUGCCCCAGACUUCGGGAUAACUCCUCGAAAGAGGCGCUAAUACCGGAUACGAACUUUGCAGGCAUCUGCGAAGUUGGAAAGUUUUUCGGUCUGGGAUGGGCCCGCGGCCUAUCAGCUAGUUGGUGAGGUAUCGGCUCACCAAGGCGACGACGGGUAGCCGGCCUGAGAGGGCGACCGGCCACACUGGGACUGAGACACGGCCCAGACUCCUACGGGAGGCAGCAGUGGGGAAUAUUGCGCAAUGGGCGAAAGCCUGACGCAGCAACGCCGCGUGCGGGAUGAAGGCCUUCGGGUUGUAAACCGCUUUCAGCAGGGAAGAAGCGAAAGUGACGGUACCUGCAGAAGAAGCACCGGCUAACUACGUGCCAGCAGCCGCGGUAAUACGUAGGGUGCAAGCGUUGUCCGGAUUUAUUGGGCGUAAAGAGCUCGUAGGCGGUUAGUCACGUCGGAUGUGAAAUCCCAGUGCUUAACACUGGGCCUGCAUUCGAUACGGGCUGACUAGAGUGUUGUAGGGGAGACUGGAACUCCUGGUGUAGCGGUGAAAUGCGCAGAUAUCAGGAAGAACACCGGUGGCGAAGGCGGGUCUCUGGGCAACUACUGACGCUGAGGAGCGAAAGCGU